AUUGGGCAGAUUUGGGGACAUUUUGGGUGGAUUUUGGGAUAUUUUUGACCGAUUUGGGGAUAUUUUGGGCGCAUUUUGGGCUAUUUUGGGCUUUUUUGGGCUAUUUUGGGCUAUUUUGGAUAGAUUUUGGGCUAUUUUGGGAUAUAUUGGGCGGAUUCGAGGAUGUUUUUGGGCUAUUUUGGGCAGAUUUUGGGAUAUUUUUGGCCGAUUUUGGGAUAUUUUGUCCAGAUUUUGGGCUAUUUCGGGAUAUUUUGGGCGGAUUUGGGGCUAUUUUGGGCGGGUUUUGGGAUAUUUUGUAUAGAUAUUGGGCUAUUUUGGGCAGUUUUUGGGCUAUUUUGGGCGGGCCUGCGCUGUGGGCGGGGCCUGCGCUGAGGCCACGCCCCCUCCCACCCAAACAACCCAACCACGCCGCUGCCCCACGUGACCCCGCCCAUCACGCAAGCCCCGCCCCCUCCGCAGCCGUUACCCCUUGGCGGGCGAACCCCCUCUCCACGUGACCCCGCCCCGCGCUCCCAUUGGCUGCCCUCUGCCCGCCCCGCCUUUCUAUUGGUCAAUCCCAUGGGGGCGGGACCACCCAUCCCAACUCGCCCCGCCAUUGGCUGAGGCGCGGAGCCCAAUGGGCGCGCGGCGGUUUGAAGGUGCGCGGGACAAGAUGGCGGCGGUGCCUCAGGCCGGUCCCGCUGCUCUCCCGGGGCCGCGCUCGGGUCUCUCGCGGCUGCCGGUGGCUCGGGCCCACGAGAAGCGGCCCCCGUCGUGCCCCGGCCCCGAGGGCCCGGCGGCGGGGCCUCCCCAGCAGGUGCGGAGCUCUCCCCGGGCGGGUUUCCCCCGCUCUGCCGCAGCCGCCUGACGCCGUUUGUCCCCUCACAGAAACGAUCUCGGACCGGUCUCGGGCCCGGAGGCGCCAAGGCCGCGCCCAAGGCCCCGCUCAGGGCCCCGCUCAGGACUCUGGGGCCGGCGGCGGCGGCGGGGAAGAACGAUGUCCCCCGAAAGGCAGCGACAGUGGCGGCUGCUCCUCGGACAGGCUCUGCCACGCGCACCACGGCCCCGGCAGCCGGGAAGGGCCCCCCCAAGCGGCCGCCCUGGGACCUGCGGGGGCAGCUGGGGGAGCUGCGGGAGGCGCUGGGGGAGGCCCAGGGGAGGCUGCAGCAGCUGGACACGGAGAAAAGGGACCUGGAGAGCGGCAACAGAGAGCUGAGAGACAGGCUGGAGCAGCUGCAGAGGGAGCUGGGCGAGAGGGAGAGCAGGGAGAGCAGCCUCAACACCAGGAUUGGCUCCCUGGAGUCGGAGGUGUCGCGGUUCCGCGCGGAGCUGCAGCAGAGCCAGGGCCUGGUGCAGGCGCUGCAGGCCGAGAAACUGCGGCUGCAGGCUGAGGAGGAGCAGCGGCGGCAGGAGCGCGACCAGGCCCGGGGCCAGGCACAGGCCGUGCUGGAGCAGCUGGAGAACACUGAGGCCCGGCUGCAGCAGGCGCAGCAGCAGCUGCAGCAGCAGCUGGAGCAGCUGGCGGCGCUGCGGGAGCUGGAGGCGUCGCAGCGGGCGCUGCUGGCCGAGCACGAGG
Catharus ustulatus (Swainson's thrush) is the source of this 1555-nucleotide long non-coding RNA. Lineage: Eukaryota; Metazoa; Chordata; Aves; Passeriformes; Turdidae. The record is from Ensembl.